CAAAGGAAGCUAUAUACAUCAACAUCUGGAUACCAAUAGCUGUUUUGCGAAAUUGAGAGCAGUUUCAAAUCUGUUCAGUUUUUUUUCUACACCCUGUAUUAAAAGUUCUUUCAAACGAGAAAAUAAAAAAUAUAUUUCCACUUCCCUUUAAAUUGCGCAGAUGUGAAAUUUAGUCCAGUCCUCAGUCAGAAAUAUACAUAAAAUCCUAGAUCAUUAUAUACUUUUCCAGAACAUAUCUUGAUUAACUAGGCAUGGAUACAACAUUAAAUUCCAGUUUCCUUCUCAUCUGCGUACACAUUUUGUAUAUCUGGAUUUACAUGACCAUAGAAAUGAUCAUCAUUAUCUUCCCCGGGGCUUUUGCCCACAUCAUCAUCAUCAUCAAUAUGCUGCGCAUCAGGCAAAUGCAUAUGAUCGACGUCGGUGCUUGAUUUGAGUCGACGAGUAUAGAUACAAUAUGCAAUAACACAUAAAAUGACCAGCAAUAUUGCCGAUGGUAUUAGGAUAGCAACAAGAUACUUUUCAGAACCAUCAUUAUCAUCCGUGUCUGAAACGUCACCUGGAACUCGAUCUGAAAUUUGAAAUGAUUCAGAAGAUCAUCAUGUAUUAAAUAAUUUACAAGUGGUUUUC
Paramuricea clavata is the source of this 627-nucleotide non-coding RNA. Lineage: Eukaryota; Metazoa; Cnidaria; Anthozoa; Malacalcyonacea; Plexauridae. The record is from the annotation of a GenBank genome assembly.